CCUACGGGAGGCAGCAGUAGGGAAUAUUGCUCAAUGGGGGAAACCCUGAAGCAGCAACGCCGCGUGGAUGAUGAAGGUUUUCGGAUUGUAAACUCCUUUUGUUAGAGAAGAUAAUGACGGUAUCUAACGAAUAAGCACCGGCUAACUCCGUGCCAGCAGCCGCGGUAAUACGUAGGGUGCAAGCGUUACUCGGAAUCACUGGGCGUAAAGAGAGCGUAGGCGGGAUAGCAAGUCAGAUGUGAAAUCCUAUGGCUUAACCAUAGGACUGCAUUUGAAACUGUUAAUCUAGAGUAUGGGAGAGGUAGGUGGAAUUCUUGGUGUAGGGGUAAAAUCCGUAGAGAUCAAGAGGAAUACUCAUUGCGAAGGCGACCUGCUAGAACAUAACUGACGCUGAUGCGCGAAAGCGUGGGGAGCAAACAGGAUUAGAUACCCCUGUAGUC
RNAcentral lists this ribosomal RNA (440 nucleotides) under uncultured bacterium. RNAcentral's name for it is "partial 16S ribosomal RNA". It matches the Rfam family "Bacterial small subunit ribosomal RNA", at positions 338 to 795 of the family's 1533-position model. The record is from RNAcentral.